Molecule: ribosomal RNA, 492 nt
Filed under: uncultured bacterium
Lineage: Bacteria
Description: partial 16S ribosomal RNA
Rfam family: Bacterial small subunit ribosomal RNA
Source: RNAcentral
AGUGAACGCUGGCGGUAGGCCUAACACAUGCAAGUCGAACGGCAGCACAGUAAGAGCUUGCGCUUACGGGUGGCGAGUGGCGGACGGGUGAGGAAUACAUCGGAAUCUACUUUUUCGUGGGGGAUAACGUAGGGAAACUUACGCUAAUACCGCAUACGACCUAAGGGUGAAAGCAUGGGAUCUUCGGACCUUGGGCGAUUGAAGGAGCCGAUGUCGGAUUAGCUAGUUGGCGGGGUAAAGGCCCACCAAGGCGACGAUCCGUAGCUGGUCUGAGAGGAUGAUCAGCCACACUGGAACUGAGACACGGUCCAGACUCCUACGGGAGGCAGCAGUGGGGAAUAUUGGACAAUGGGCGCAAGCCUGAUCCAGCCAUGCCGCGUGGGUGAAGAAGGUCUUCGGGUUGUAAAGCCCUUUUGUUGGGGAAGAAAAGCAGCAGGUUAAUACCCCGCUGUUCUGACGGUACCCAAAGAAUAAGCACCGGCUAACUUCGUG